GAGGCUGAAUCAGGAGACAAGGGCCAGAAAGGAGAAAUGGGUGAUCCAGGACAAAGAGGACUCCAAGGACCACAUGGUUUCAAGGGAAGCUUAGGACUACCAGGUCCAAAGGGAGAGCCCGGCCCAGAGGGUAAAGAAGGUCCUCGUGGACUCAUCGGACUCCCAGGGAUUGCAGGAGAGACGG
Long non-coding RNA from Oncorhynchus nerka (sockeye salmon), 184 nucleotides. RefSeq lists it as uncharacterized. The record is from RefSeq and is a predicted model, not a curated record. The transcript is spliced from 4 exons. NCBI's taxonomy places the organism in Eukaryota, Metazoa, Chordata, Actinopteri, Salmoniformes, Salmonidae.